This 70-nucleotide transfer RNA is filed under the name Myotis brandtii (Brandt's bat). It matches the Rfam family "tRNA". Rfam says of the family: Transfer RNA (tRNA) molecules are approximately 80 nucleotides in length. Their secondary structure includes four short double-helical elements and three loops (D, anti-codon, and T loops). Lineage: Eukaryota; Metazoa; Chordata; Mammalia; Chiroptera; Vespertilionidae. The record is from Rfam by way of RNAcentral.
UGGUUUGGCUUAGUGGAUAGAGCAUCAGCCUGCGGACUGAAAGGUCCCGGUUCGAUUCCGGUCAAGCCAC